This 420-nucleotide ribosomal RNA is filed under the name uncultured prokaryote. RNAcentral describes it as "bacterial SSU rRNA". It matches the Rfam family "Bacterial small subunit ribosomal RNA", at positions 355 to 774 of the family's 1533-position model. The record is from RNAcentral.
UGGGGGAUAUUGCACAAUGGGCGCAAGCCUGAUGCAGCGACGCCGCGUGAGGGAUGACGGCUUUCGGGUUGUAAACCUCUUUUACUAUCGAACAAGGCACAGUCUUUUGUUGUGUUGAGGGUAGGUGGUGAAUAAGCGCCGGCUAACUACGUGCCAGCAGCCGCGGUAAUACGUAGGGCGCGAGCGUUGUCCGGAAUUAUUGGGCGUAAAGAGCUCGUAGGCGGCUUGUCGCGUCUGCUGUGAAAUCCCAGGGCUUAACUCUGGGCGUGCAGUGGGUACGGGCAGGCUAGAGUGCGGUAGGGGUGAUUGGAAUUCCUGGUGUAGCGGUGGAAUGCGCAGAUAUCAGGAGGAACACCGAUGGCGAAGGCAGGUCACUGGGCCGUUACUGACGCUGAGGAGCGAAAGCAUGGGGAGCGAACA